UGGCGGCGGCGGCGACUGGAACGCACGGUUUCGGCCCCGGUAGCCCCUGCACAUUCCCUCGUGUUUGGGCCACAGCUCGCGGAACCCUUCACACGGGGAACGCGUGUGCGUCUGUCCGCUCCUCCGGAAAUGGCCAAGGCUUCACACAGAUACAGUAAGAUGUGUGAAAGAUUGGUGGAAGACGAGAUGGGAUUGCGAGGUGAGAACCAACUAGCAGGGAGCCUUGAAUGCCAAGCUAAUAAUUUAGACUUUUUCUUUAAAUCGUGAUGAUUUAAUCUGAGCCUUGUGUUAGGAAGAUUAAUGUGGCAACAGUUAGCAGAGUGGUAGGUAUCCUGUAAUUGCAAAGAGGCUAAAGGUGUGAUUGUAUCCACAAGUCAUAAGAGUAGGGUACUAGUAAGAUUAGGCCAGGUUUUACGAUGAAUUUUUACUUGGCUAUUAGCUGCACAGGAAAGGGGUGUUGUAAAAGAAGCAUGUGGUACUCCUAAAGGAGGGAAAUUUAAUUGAACUCUAAUGGAAUGCUAAUACUUGAGCAGAUUUUCUUUGCUCUAAAUUAAAAAAUGGGUCCAGUACAGUGAUGUGUUAGAAGAUACUUUUACAAAUUGUUUUGGAAUGUAGUUCAUAUUAUAUUUUAGUAUUGCAGUAUACUUAAAUUUGCGUAUUAAUUGAACUAGAUAAUGUGUCUUGAGCAAUUUGGUAUACAUAUUAAGAGUCAUAAAUGUCCAUGUUUUAGAAUCCAGACAAACUAAACUUCUCAUGCUUUGGAAUAUACUUUAUGACUAUAUUUUUUCUUCAAAGUAAUUUUUUAGUAAAAUUUCUUAGAUGGUAUGAUACCUAUCAUUGAUGACACACAUAAUCUUUUUCUCCUUAAAUCUCAGAAGCUAUGGCAACAAUAGACUCACAAAUCCAAAUGGCAUUAGUUAGCAAGAAAUCACUGUAGCUGAAAGAAGACUACUGCUUUUAUAUCAGAAAGACAUAUUUCAGUUGGUCUGCAUUCUGAAGGGUGGACAUUUACGAUUCUUAAUAUGUAUGUUGAGUUGUCUGACUUUCCCUAAACUGAGACCUGUUGGGGUUUUUCUUUUGGUUUGGUUUGUUUUAUCUAAACAGCGAGACAGUAAAUAUUUUAAGCUCUGUGGAUGA
RNAcentral lists this long non-coding RNA (1137 nucleotides) under Castor canadensis (American beaver). Its description in RNAcentral is "lncRNA (ENSCCNG00000018661.1)". Lineage: Eukaryota; Metazoa; Chordata; Mammalia; Rodentia; Castoridae. The record is from RNAcentral.